Long non-coding RNA from Cucurbita maxima (winter squash), 279 nucleotides. RefSeq lists it as uncharacterized. The transcript is spliced from 2 exons. Lineage: Eukaryota; Viridiplantae; Streptophyta; Magnoliopsida; Cucurbitales; Cucurbitaceae. The record is from RefSeq and is a predicted model, not a curated record.
UGUUGUGAAUUGAUGAACUUCGUUUUGAUUUAGUGUUGAACAAGUUUGUGGGCUUCUGUUUAAUCGUACAUGGUUUUUUUGGUUGUGGUCGUUCACAUGCUUAAGUCUCAUAAAUGUAAGCUCACAUGGAAAGGAUUCUCUCUGAAGCUUUUAUGCAAUUUGACGUAGGUGGCCAAGAGCUUGGAGGAAUGCAUUAUGUCACAUUAUUCUUGCUUAUCGAUGUAACCUAUAAUCUGUUUAGCAACGUUAAGAGUAAGUGCACUAUCUCUCAUUCGGUUC